This is a long non-coding RNA of Leopardus geoffroyi (Geoffroy's cat), 147 nucleotides long. RefSeq lists it as uncharacterized. Lineage: Eukaryota; Metazoa; Chordata; Mammalia; Carnivora; Felidae. The transcript has 3 exons. The record is from RefSeq and is a predicted model, not a curated record.
AUAAUUACCAGAAGUUUUUUUGGUGAAGUCUUUCAGGUUUUCUACAUAUAGUGCCAUGUCAUUGGCAAAUAGUGACAGUUGUACUUCCUACCAAUUUAGAAGCCUUUUAUUUCUUUUACUCAUCUGAUUAUUAUGGCUAGGACUUUC